GGCGACGUAGCUCAGCAGGUGAGAGCGCUCGACUCAUAAUCGAGAGGUCGACAGUUCGAUUCUGUCCGUCGCUAC
RNAcentral lists this transfer RNA (75 nucleotides) under uncultured Acidimicrobiales bacterium. RNAcentral's name for it is "tRNA-Met". It matches the Rfam family "tRNA". Rfam says of the family: Transfer RNA (tRNA) molecules are approximately 80 nucleotides in length. Their secondary structure includes four short double-helical elements and three loops (D, anti-codon, and T loops). RNAcentral also lists the same sequence under 2 other names. The record is from RNAcentral. Lineage: Bacteria; Bacillati; Actinomycetota; Acidimicrobiia; Acidimicrobiales.